This is a long non-coding RNA of Calidris pugnax (ruff), 4771 nucleotides long. RefSeq lists it as uncharacterized. The record is from RefSeq and is a predicted model, not a curated record. The transcript is spliced from 3 exons. NCBI's taxonomy places the organism in Eukaryota, Metazoa, Chordata, Aves, Charadriiformes, Scolopacidae.
UUUUGUUUAAAAACUUUAGACAAGCUUUUGGUGUUGCCUCUGCUCAGGAUAGAGUUCGCAAUUUAAUAACCUUGUUGUGUUACAAACCCUGAGACUUCGCGACUCCUGCACUAGUCCAUCUGCCAAGCAGAGAGCAUUUCUUGACCUUUUAAAGAAAGCCAGAGAUAAUGAACCAUUUGGACCGUAGGAUGCCCGAGCUGCUUGGAAUAAAAUCAGCGUGGCUGUGAAUUUUGGAGAGGAACAAACGUGGAGCUCCGAGCCAGCAGUGCGGGCUGAGGGUUCGCAGUGAUCUCCGACUGCAGUAACAGCCAUAAACUCCUUUAAAACAGUUAAUAAAUCAGAAGACAUGGGCAGAGAGAGAUCUGGGCUUCACAAGGGCUUGACAAAGUGUCUUGAAGUGUCCGGCGAGGGAGGAUUUGACUGGCUGCCAUUGGGUUAGAGCUUGUAACUAGCGAUUUUCUCCUUCAAAGAUCUUGUCGGCUCUUGAGAAAUGCAAAUCCUGCAGAGGCUGGUGCUUGUUGGGGGGAGCUGGAUGUCAGACGCUGCUGUCCCUGUUAUUGAUGGCAUUGGAAACGUGCAGUGUGCGCCACGAGUUCUGCACUGUGGGUGCUGGAGGUCCAAUGGUGAAAGAUCAGUAUUUUCUGUUAUGAGUUUUAGUUCUCUGAAAAUGGAAACCUGAAUUUUUGCAGCUUCACGGGUGUUGUCCCAAGUCAGGUGUCCCAUCUUAGGCUGGAAAUGUCCCCUGGGGAGUACCACUCUCCCCUGCUAGUGAAAGGGCCCUUGAGCAUCUCAGACAAUGUGGUUGGGGAGUGGAGACUGAGCACCCAAAUCAUCCUUCCCGUGGCUGACCACAGCAGUGCUUCACAUGGACAUCCCCUGACCUAACCCUGAAACUUCUGGGUCCAGCUCCCGUGGACUUGGUGCCGAGCAGCAGUCAGGGCUCUGCUGGUGUCCCUGAGGGCUCCUGUGGAGAAUGAGAGGACCGUGGCUCUCUGGUCCUUUCUGGAAGCCAGCAGAUGUUCAUGGAUGAUCCUUUCUGAUGAGAGACCUCCUCAGGUCUCUCCUGUUGCCUGGGUGGUUGCACCAGGGCUGUGAUUUUCCUGCCUCCUGCGUGUGGUCGCUCACGCCAGUGCUUUCUGCUUAGCCCAAGUGGGUUUGUUCUUUUCAGCUGCUGGUUGUUACUGUGUCCCUUUUCCUUAACAUUUUCCACAGUAUUUCCAUCUCUGCAGCAAGUCUGGCACAGGACCUCCUGCCUGGCUCUUCUGUUUCUCUGCCUGCUGUGGCUGGAUGGUGUUCCCAGGUCCAAGGUGCAGACCCAGUGGACAUGAACAGGGACACACACACGUGCACACGUGUGCAAACUGGCACAGGAUGGGACACACACACACGUGCACACGUGUGCAAACUGGCACAGGAUGGCCCUGGCAGGCUGGCACAGACUCUGCUUCCAAUACCUCCUUUCCAUCACAUCCAACUUGGUUCCAGCAGAAAGGACGUAGAAAGCUUUUUGGGUGGAGCAGGAGAAGGGAUGGCUAAUGAGGGGACGGCUAACGAAGGGACAACUAACGCACUCCAGCCCUUGCUUCGCUGGUGCCAGGGAGAAAUGCAGGAUUAAUUGCUUCAAAACAUCACUGAGGAUACGUGUGUUCUUCCUGUGCUGGGAAACCAGAGCCAGAGCCUUGGUCUGUAACUCUUUUAGGGGAAGAUGACAUAGUUGCUCUCGAUUAAACCAUUAGUUUAAUGUUGAUUAAACCAUGGGUAAAUUAUUCAUGCGUCUGGCUAUUCAUAUGAUGCAUAAGGCUUUUAUUUUAAUGGGAUGGGUUGCCAGGCCUGGUAUUAAAAACUUGUUGUUGUGCUCACUAGCAACUAGCGUGGCAAAAAUAAACAAAUAGGAUGCUAAGGGAAGGGCUUUUGACAGUAACACUGUAGCAUGAGUGGAGCUGUCAUUUCAACUGAAAUAGCAUUAGGUUUAUGGUGAUUUUUUAGCCACAGAUCUCAUGUCAUAGCCUGCUUUCCUGCCAAGGAAACAUGGGCAGGCUUGCUCUCCUCUGAUGGGGGUUCCCAAAGUGUUGCAGAAUGUGGCCACCGCUGUGGUUGUGGCGAAGAGCCAGGAAGGACGGUCGCUUAGUGCCAUAAUAAGCAAUCAUUUAGUUCAGGGAAACCUCCAAAGUCAACGCUCAUAAGAAAAAUCCCGGGACUUGUUUGGCGUCUGGCAGAGAAGAUGAAACACCAGGCUGAAGGGAUUUCUCCGAGAGGUCUUCCACUCUCCAUACAGGCUUUGCUUCUUUCCUUCAAAGUUGAAAAGCUUGGCACGUGUGUAAUGCACCCCACGCUACUGGAGGCCUGGUUUUACUGGUCGCUAAAGGGUCUUCUUGUUGCCAUCAUUUUCAGGAAUAAAGCAUAGACAUGAGACACGGAUGUGCAUGAGUCUGCCCUGAUGCCCAGGCUGGUUCCAGUCCUGGGAUCAAGGGUGGUUGGGUCAGAGCAGCAUCCUCAGUGCUGGUGACCUGCAGAGCAGCAUGUUGAUGGAGCACUUUGCGUUUACCUGCACCUCCCUCCUUUGCCAUGCAAAAGCUGAGGGUCAGGAAGGAAGGGAAGGCAGGACCAAAUACCCUGCCGGGGGUGGCCAUGGCCAUGCUGUGCUCCGUGGCUUCAUGCAAAGCUGCUGGGGGGCCGGGGAGGUGGGUGAUGGUGCUGGCUCCCACCUGCAUUACGUUCCUGGGCUGCACUGGGGUGGUGCUGCUGGUGGAGGGGAGACGAUGAGCCCUGAGGGGAUGGGGCACGUUGUGGGGUGUCCUCUCACCCCAGCAUGGCUCUGCCUCCAUGCCUUCCCAGGCUACUGGUUUCUAACACUCCUCUUCAGGGUGCCGAGGCAGGUUGGACACUUAUGUUGUCUUUAUUAUUGAUCUAUAGACUGAUCGGUGAAUCCUGCUGACCAGGUGAAGAUCUACAUCUUGAGAUACAUAUGGGCUGUGGCUUGAUUUCACUCAGCCUGGGUGGACUUGUUGGGUAGCAGGGGGUGUUUCCUAAAGUAUGUGCUACCAGAAGAGUUUUGAGGGCCUGAUGGGGCCCUCAAAAGUGAGUGAAAGACAUCUUCCUAUGCCCACUGCUCAUCUGUCAAGCUCAAUGUACUCCUCAAGGUCAUUUUUCAGGCCAGCCGUUCUUGGGGGCAGAGUCAGGACUCAAAGCUGUGGCUUGCUCCAGCUGAGGGUCACUCAAGACUUGGGGGAGUCUCAUCCCCAAGAGCUGGAGGUGCUGGAAGGAGGAUUGGGCUGGUUGAGAGUCCUGCACCUCUUAUGGCUCCUCACCUGGCAGCCCCAAAGGUUUAACUGAUGUCCCACCAGCCUUGUUUUCCCACUCCCCGGAUCCCAGCCGAGAGGCUGAACACCAGUCGGGGUCUCUCCCAUUGCCUUAUUUCAAAUAACUUUUCUCCCCCUCUGCCAGAGUUGAGUUUCCUUGCUUGAGUCCCACCAGGAUGUAACUCCUGACCCCGGAUCUCAUCGCCAAGCGCGGACAGCGAGAGCCGUCAUCCCCCGGGGCCGAUGGAGGGGUUUAUAAAGCCCUGCAUCUUCCUUGGGCCAUCGCUGCUGGGGGGAGGGAGGACACGAAGGAGCUCCCGUGUGGGUGCCUGUAAUAGGAACGGUGCCUGGGGAGGCAUUUGGUCCUCAUUAGCAGAAGCUCGGUAGCUGUUUUGUCAUUUUUCUUGUUUGUCAUAAAAAAUAAAUACAGUUUAAUAGAUGAUCUUACAGAGCAGGUUUUGGCAACAAAAUAGAUCGUGUCCCAUUAUAAACUUGAUGUGUAUAAUUUAAAGCAAGAUGGAAUAUAAAACCAUUUCCAGCUCAGAUGAGAGAGAGGGAGACACAGAUUUAGGUCUUGAUUGUGCUGAAAUGAAAAACAGCACUUUCUCGGAUAGUGUAUUAAAUCAGGCAUCCUGUUUUAUGGAGUCCAAACUAUAAACAGCUUUUUUUUCAGAAUAAUUAAUCACAUCAUUUAUUUUUUGGUUUGAAAAGUUUGGGGAGGGGGGUUCUUUUGUUUCUUUGUGUAUUUUUAGAGGUAUCAUCUGCAAAAGAGCAGCCCUCAGCACCGAAGGAGAUGACUUGGAGACCAGGGUGGACUUCAAGGGGAUGUUCCUGUCAAAAUCCCAUCCGUUAUCAGAGAUUUAAGAAAAGCCCUGAGGAGCUCUUGGGAAUGCCAUGCCUGAUGGGGAAGGCUGGGCUCUGGAGCCGAGGGCGGUGGGAAGGAGCCGGGAAGCUGCGCAAACCCCAGCUGAGUUAAAAAUAGCAAUUGAUAAAGCUGCAAAGUCUCGCACCUCGGAGGAGUUCAAGCCAGCAUUCCUCCUGCCUGAGCAACCCUCGCCUGUGCCGUGCUGUCACUUGUGCCAUGCUGUCACUUGUGCCAUGCUACGAACGCGGGCAUGGGAUUUAAAACACAAUUUCAUGCUGCUUUCCCCACUCCUGGGACCCCUCGGGGUCAGGAGGAGCUGAGCUGGGGUGAAGGCACAUCUAGGAGAUGCAAAGGUAGGACCCCGUUCUCCAGGGCCAGCAGCAUCUUGUCUUAACCACUCUAGGUGGGUCCAUCUACUCAUUCCUGGCAAUGAAUAACCCACCAAGUCCUGUAGGAAACAUACCCUGUGUCUGCAGCAAGAGGUUACACACCAAUGUGCAUGUGCAAGAAGGUGAUCCUCUUGACUUUGACAGCUGAUGGAGCACAAGUGCAUCUGCAAGGGAGCACCUCAUUUGUCAUCUAUGGCAUGGACCAGACCUUAGCUCCA